GACGAACGCUGGCGGCGUGCUUAACACAUGCAAGUCGAACGGCAAGGCCCUGCUUUUGUGGGGUGCUCGAGUGGCGAACGGGUGAGUAACACGUGAGUAACCUGCCCUUGAUUUUGGGAUAACUUCAGGAAACUGGGGUUAAUACCGGAUAGGAUCUCCUGCUGCAUGGUGGGGGUUGGAAAGUUUCUGCUGUAGGGGCUGGACUCGCGGCUUAUCAGCUUGUUGGUGGGGUAGUGGCAUACCCAGGCUGUGACGGGUAGCCGGCCUGAGAGGGUGACCGGCGACAUUACGACUAAGGUACGCAGCAGAGGGCUACGGUGGGCAACGGUGGCGAAUAUUAUACAGUGAGACGGCGUCUGUGAAGAAGGCGUCGCGUUCGGAAUGACGGCCUGCGGGUUAAGAACCGCUUUCGCCUAUGACGAAGCGUGAGUGACGGUAAUGGGUGAAGAAGCACCGGCUAACUACGUG
Molecule: ribosomal RNA, 468 nt
Filed under: uncultured bacterium
Lineage: Bacteria
Description: partial 16S ribosomal RNA
Rfam family: Bacterial small subunit ribosomal RNA
Source: RNAcentral